RNAcentral lists this long non-coding RNA (629 nucleotides) under Fukomys damarensis (Damara mole-rat). RNAcentral describes it as "lncRNA (ENSFDAG00000031120.1)". The record is from RNAcentral. Lineage: Eukaryota; Metazoa; Chordata; Mammalia; Rodentia; Bathyergidae.
CACUUCUUGAAAAGGUGAAAUUCUAGAAGAUUAUAACAUAUACGGACUUCUGUUUUUCUGCGACUUGAACAAUGUCUCCUCUUGAAUUUUGAGUGUUAGAAUUAUUAGCACACGAAGCAAAAUGUUGUGAAUUUCUUUCCCUGCAGUCCCGGAGAACAGGCAGAAGGUGUUAGGCAUAGAACUGAGGACUCUUGAUGCCGAGGUUUGUGUGCUAAUCAUUAAGCAUGUAUCCCCCCAUUAGCUAUGCAAAACGCAUGCCUGGUGUUGCUAAGUAAACCUUAUGUUUAUCAGGCAUAAAAGGUGCAUCCCGGGUUCUUUCCUCUCUCUGUCAGGGAGCACAGAGCUGAAGACUACAAUUUUGGAAAGGAAAAGAUUUGGAAAGCGGCUCGGCUGUGGCAGCUUCUCCAGGCUUGGAGCCUGGCAGGAAACAGUGGCAGUUUGUCUUCCAGUCAAGGGCCCUGCUGUCUUUACUAAUUGAAUGAUCCAAAUUAAGGGAUGUCAUCAGAAGCAUAACCAAAGUGGCAAAUUGCUGUUUUAGUUCAAAAACAUUUAUGUGGAUUACAACUGUACUGUAUGGAAAUUUAUUUUAUAAAUAAAAAAUGUAUGCACACCCAUGUUUAUAACGGCAC